CCUACGGGAGGCAGCAGUGAGGAAUAUUGGUCAAUGGACGAGAGUCUGAACCAGCCAAGUAGCGUGAAGGAUGACUGCCCUAUGGGUUGUAAACUUCUUUUAUAUGGGAAUAAAAUGUUCCACGUGUGGGAUUUUGUAUGUACCAUAUGAAUAAGGAUCGGCUAACUCCGUGCCAGCAGCCGCGGUAAUACGGAGGAUCCGAGCGUUAUCCGGAUUUAUUGGGUUUAAAGGGUGCGUAGGUGGAUUGUUAAGUCAGUUGUGAAAGUUUGCGGCUCAACCGUAAAAUUGCAGUUGAAACUGGCAGUCGUGAGUACAGUAGAGGUAGGCGGAAUUCGUGGUGUAGCGGUGAAAUGCUUAGAUAUCACGAAGAACUCCGAGUGCGAAGGCAGCUCACUGGACUGCAACUGACACUGAGGCUCGAAAGUGUGGGUAUCAAACAGGAUUAGAUACCCGGGUAGUC
This 460-nucleotide ribosomal RNA is filed under the name uncultured bacterium. RNAcentral's name for it is "partial 16S ribosomal RNA". It matches the Rfam family "Bacterial small subunit ribosomal RNA", at positions 338 to 795 of the family's 1533-position model. The record is from RNAcentral.